GACGAACGCAGGCGGCGUGCUUAACACAUGCAAGUCGAACGGAAAGGCCCUGCUUUUGUGGGGUGCUCGAGUGGCGAACGGGUGAGUAACACGUGAGUAACCUGCCCUUGACUUUGGGAUAACUUCAGGAAACUGGGGCUAAUACCGGAUAGGAGCUCCUGCUGCAUGGUGGGGGUUGGAAAGUUUCGGCGGUUGGGGAUGGACUCGCGGCUUAUCAGCUUGUUGGUGGGGUAGUGGCUUACCAAGGCUUUGACGGGUAGCCGGCCUGAGAGGGUGACCGGCCACAUUGGGACUGAGAUACGGCCCAGACUCCUACGGGAGGCAGCAGUGGGGAAUAUUGCACAAUGGGCGGAAGCCUGAUGCAGCAACGCCGCGUGCGGGAUGACGGCCUUCGGGUUGUAAACCGCUUUCGCCUGUGACGAAGCGUGAGUGACGGUAAUGGGUAAAGAAGCACCGGCUAACUACGU
RNAcentral lists this ribosomal RNA (467 nucleotides) under uncultured bacterium. RNAcentral's name for it is "partial 16S ribosomal RNA". It matches the Rfam family "Bacterial small subunit ribosomal RNA", at positions 28 to 506 of the family's 1533-position model. The record is from RNAcentral.